This is a long non-coding RNA of Dreissena polymorpha, 4253 nucleotides long. RefSeq lists it as uncharacterized. Lineage: Eukaryota; Metazoa; Mollusca; Bivalvia; Myida; Dreissenidae. The transcript has 7 exons. The record is from RefSeq and is a predicted model, not a curated record.
CCUUUUCUGUGAAAUUAUAUAUCCUUGGCUUUUGUUCUACUAUAUCAAUAGAUAGCUGGUGUUGGUUGUUGUCUUAGUAAUAAACACUUAGCUGCUUUACUGAUAAAUUUCACCUGCUCUUUAUGUCCCCCACUAUAGUAGUGGGGGACAUAUUGUUUUUGCCCUGUCUGUUGGUUGGUCUGUUUGCGCCAACUUUAACAUUUUGCAAUAACUUUUGCUAUAUUGAAGAUAGCAACUUCAUAUUUGGCAUGCAUGUGUAUCUCAUGAAGCUGCACAUUUUGAGAGGUGAAAGGUCAAGGUCAAGGUCAUCCUUCAAGGUCAGAGGUCAAAUAUAGGUGGCCAAAAUCGCUCAUUUUAUGAAUACUUUUGCAAUAUUGAAGAUAGCAACUUGAUAUUUGGCAUGCAUGUGUAUCUCAUGGAGCUGCACAUUUUGAGUGGUGAAAGGUCAAGGUCAAGGUCAUCCUUCAAGGUCAGAGGUCAAAUAUAUGUGGCCCAAAUCGCUUAUUUUAUGAAUACUUUUGCAAUAUUGAAGAUAGCAACUUGAUAUUUGGCAUGCAUGUGUAUCUCAUGGAGCUGCACAUUUUGAGUGGUGAAAGGUCAAGGUCAUCCUUCAAGGUCAGAGGUCAAAUAUAUGUGGCCCAAAUCGCUUAUUUUAUGAAUACUUUUGCAAUAUUGAAGAUAGCAACUUGAUAUUUGGCAUGCAUGUGUAUCUCAUGGAGCUGCACAUUUUGAGUGGUGAAAGGUCAAGGUCAUCUUUCAAGGUCAGAGGUCAAAUAUAUGUGGCCCGAAUCGCUUAUUUUAUGAAUACUUUUGCAAUAUUGAAGAUAGCAACUUGAUAUUUGGCAUGCAUGUGUAUCUCAUGGAGCUGCACAUUUUGAGUGGUGAAAGGUCAAGGUCAUCCUUCAAGGUCAAAUAUAUGGGUCAAAAUUGCUCAUGUAAUGUCACUUCUGCAAUAUUGAAGCUAGCAAUUUUAUAUUUGAAAUGCAUGUGUAUCUCAUGGAGCUGCACAUUUUGAGUGGUGAAGGGUCAAGGUCAUCCUACAAUGUCAAACGUCAUAUGGGGGACAUUGUGUUUCACAAACGCAUCUUGUUUCUGUCAUGCCUUUUUAUUUAACAGAUGUUUACCUUUAUAUUUAUUUACUUCACAAAACACUUUUCUUUCUUGCUUCUUUUGCCUGCCUUUAAUUGCUUAGUGAUAGCCUUUCAUUUUAUUUCUAAUAUGCUAUUACUUCUUCAUAGUUUUUAAUUAUUUUCAUCAUUCAUCACUACAAUCACGCUAAUUAUUUAUGUCAUUGAAGUGUCACUGACUGGAAUGAAUUAAUAUUUCUUAACCUUAAUGCCAAAAUUUCUUUUUAUAUUAAAUAUAAUGUUUAGUAAAAAGUCUCUACUUCUAUUGUAAUUUGAUGUAUAAAUUACAAUACUGAAUUGUAUUCAAAAAGUUGUUUAUUGGAAUAAAAUGAUUAAAUUAAAUGGUUUAGACAUUAUUUUAUUAUAUAACUAAAAUAACUAUUGAUUAAAAUAUAUUAUUUUAUAGACAAAAUAAUUUACAAAUAUAUCUUGUUAAUGGUUUGGAGCUUCUUCAGUGAGUUUUUCUUUAGUGCCAACUAGUGCACAACAGGCAACUGCAACCAAGCCAUCACCAGCUACCAUCACUGCCUCUCAGUCUGUAUUGACAACCAAGCUCCCCCCCCCCCCCCUGGGCGGAGCUUAAUGUUUCGAAAAUAGUUCCGAAUAAAUGAAUAAAAUAUUGCAGUAAAAUGAACGUGCUAAAAUGCGCUCUAAAAGAAAUGUAAUAAAUGUAGCAUGUAUAUUAGUGUAAUGAAACAACAAAUGGUAUAUUUGGUGAUAAGUGGCAUAACCACGCCUGCAAAGAAUGUUAUUUGUUAAAAAACAAAAUUAAGGAAACAUUUAUAGCAUGUCAUCUUUUCAUUAGCAUCAAUAAACGUGACGUCAUUUAGUUUCUACGAUUGUUGUUCUCAAUGAAAGUGAUGUCAUUCGCAAAAUAUUUAUGAAUGAAAACGACGUCAUAUGUUUGUACAAUUCAAUGACGUCACUAAAUAGUGAACUUUGUACAAAGAAGGGCGGAGUAUUAAACAAUAUAGUUCACGUCCAAAAGCUUGAACCAAAUCAAUCAGAAUAGUGUUAGAAUCAAAAUAAUAUUUUUCUUUGAUGGUUUGUAGUCGAAUAACCCACAGUAAGGAGUAUAGAUGCGUUUUAUCAAAUCACUCGUCGUCGAAUAACCCACAGUAAGGAGUAUAGAUGCGUUUUAUCAAAUCACUCGUGCUUUGCACUCGUGAUUUAAUUCCUACGCAUCUAUACUCCUUACUGUGGGUUAUUCGACUACAAACCAUCAUAGAAUAUUAUUUUUUAACUCACAUUUUUCAUGUGAAAUCAAUUACUGGAACAAUGGCUUGCAAGUAUCGAUGGUUUAGCUUAUAUUUCUGUUCCUCCCAAAUCAUGACACUGCAAAUUCCAAACACUCAAAAUAAGUAAAUAUUAAAUAUUACACAGACACUUUGCUUUAAUUCCAGAAUUUCCCUUCAUCGAGAGCUGGCGAGCCUGUGUGCCAGAGGUGGACCAGCAGUGGAUUUCUAAAUCCCUGUUCACUUACAGCAGUAAGGGCCACCCAGAGCUGGAUGACAGAAAGCUAGAUGGCUUUUGGCAUUACCGUCCUAAGCCCCAGCCACUACCAAACCAAAAGCCAAGGCUUGACAGGCUGUUCCUAUGGAUCCCACAGCGGUUAUGCAGGAUGGCGCUGACCUGUCCCUUCUGCAGGGUGACCCAUCUUACCAAGCAGGGUCUGUACCGGCUACCCAGGAUGGUGCUGGACAUAGAUUCUUUUUACAUUGUUGCAACUGAGAAUUUGCACUGUAUCAAGUGCAAGAAGAAUCAGAUAGGCUGGAGUGAUGCCAUAUUGGACCAGCUUGAUCUGGCUACCAGGUCUUCGUUUUCGGUACAGAUGAUGUACCAUAGCGCAUGUGACAACCGUGUCAAUACUUGUUGCGCCAGAGAGGCUUAGGUAACAGUCCUACUCAGCUUCAGAAGCAGAUCACCGAGCUGCACAAUUUACGUUGGACAAAGCAACACCUGCAGUACAUGAGCGACUGUGCUUUGUACCGCAAAUCUGUGCAGUCUAAGUUAAUUUUGACAACAACUUUCGAAGAGCCGCUCCCACACUACCUAUUACCAACAUAUCAGUGGUUUCUUCGUGUUUAUCAGCAGGAGGUUUUAUCUCGGUCGGAAGAGGUCAAGGCGGCAGUGUCAUCCAUCUUUGGUCUGGUAUUAAAGAUUGACUCUACUAAGAAGGUAACCAAGAAGCUGGCGGGUGAAGCUGAUUGGACAGCUGCGUGGUCCACUAACGUGGGUAAUGAGUAUGGCCAGGUACUCAUGAGUGUCAUGACAGCCAUCGAAGGGUGUGGGCUGGAGGAGAUGGUGUCAGGCAUCAUAAGACGCUAUUCGGAGGCUGAUGUUUUACCGCCAGUCCUGCUGUAUGUGGACAGCAACUGUUGCGGGAAGUCCGCACUGAUGGACAUUUUCAGGAGUGCUUGGCCUGACCUUGUCGUGCGAUUGGACGUGUGGCACUUCAUGCGGCGUCUUGCUGUAGGGGUCACAACGGACACCCACAGACUGUAUGCUACAUUCAUGGGUCAGCUAACAGCUGCCAUCUUCUAGUUGGACAGGACCGACCUGAGUCUCUGAGACCUGAGAACCAGUGCUAGCGCCAUCAACUUCCAGACUUACUUGCUGGAGGGCGUGAUGCGCUGGAACGAAGACAGACAGAUUGCUGUAACCAGCACUGAGAAGGAAACUGUAUUGUAUGACGCACGGUUGAAGACCGCCACUAACAGACUGAGUCAGGAGCUUUUUAACAAGAAUAUUUUCCCUACAUUCCAGCCUCCAAACAAAUACACUGGUAUACUGGAUUAUGAAAGACUGAUUAACAUAAAAUUGACAACUCAUCUCCCCAACGACAUUUUGUGUGGCUCAUUCUCAGAACAAACCCAUAGUCAGUGAGAAAACUACAGUGUAAAAAGACCACUUGAUUGUGACAAUUAUGGCUGACCAAGCAAAUGUUAUCAUUUAAAAUAAAGAAAACUUCCAGUUCAAUAUACAUUUUAUACCAAUUAUGACAUUGGCCAACACAGAAAUUAAUUAUAAGGUUGAUUUUCCCAAAAUUGACUUUUACAAUUGGAUACAGUUUUAAGCUUCACUCUACUUUGUCCGAAAAUAAAAGUCCUAAAUGAUGUAAUAGAA